UGGGGAAUAUUGGUCAAUGGGGGCAACCCUGAACCAGCCAAGUCGCGUGAAGGAUGAAGGUCUUAUGGAUUGUAAACUUCUUUUACACGGGAAUAAAGCGGGGGACGUGUCCCUCUUUGCAUGUACCGUGUGAAUAAGGAUCGGCUAACUCCGUGCCAGCAGCCGCGGUAAUACGGAGGAUCCGAGCGUUAUCCGGAUUUAUUGGGUUUAAAGGGUGCGCAGGCGGGAUGUUAAGUCGGCGGUGAAAUUUUGCAGCUCAACUGUAAAAGUGCCUUCGAUACUGGCCUCCUUGAGUGUGGAUGAAGUAGGCGGAAUUUGUGGUGUAGCGGUGAAAUGCUUAGAUAUCACGAGGAACUCCGAUUGCGCAGGCAGCUUACUAAGCCACAACUGACGCUCAUGCGCGAAGGCGUGGGGAUCAAACA
This 422-nucleotide ribosomal RNA is filed under the name uncultured bacterium. Its description in RNAcentral is "bacterial SSU rRNA". It matches the Rfam family "Bacterial small subunit ribosomal RNA", at positions 355 to 774 of the family's 1533-position model. The record is from RNAcentral.